RNAcentral lists this unclassified non-coding RNA (7264 nucleotides) under Leishmania donovani. Its description in RNAcentral is "gene:LdHU3.34.3430(CDS-product:hypothetical_prote in_conserved)". The record is from RNAcentral. Lineage: Eukaryota; Euglenozoa; Kinetoplastea; Trypanosomatida; Trypanosomatidae.
UCGUCGCAGCUUGCGGGCACGAACGCACAUACAUACGCCUGCACACACACACACACACACACACACUGCCGUUGCACGGAACGGAGGAGGCGAGGAAGAGAGUGAGAGAGAGACGGCCGUCCCCUCACCUCCUGCCACCUGUCGUACAAAACGCGAAUCCGCAAAAACAAAAUCACAUAAACGCGGGUGCGACUCACGGAACAUCACUGCGACGUGAAUCGCUGGAGGUGGCAUCGAGCAGUCCCCGUGUUUCCCUGACGCGAGCAAGCAACCACCUCUUGCAUGUGUCCCCAUAUUGACAGGCCUGUACGUUGCUACAGAGAGAACGAGAAACCACGCGUAGUAGAGAUGCAUAUUCACAUAGACGUACCCAAGGAUAGAUUGCCCUUUUUCUUUUUUUUACAAAUCGUCCUGUAUCUCAGCGCGCCGUCAUGAGCAGUGCUUCACCGCCUCCACCGCAGCGCGGCGAUGCUGUACAAGUACAGCUCGUGAACGCAGACGGCAGCACCAUCGCGCAGCGUCCCAUCCAUAUUGAGGAGCUGUUGCAGCAGAAGGAUCACACCGUGGAUAUCGGCGCUGGAAUUGCCCUGCGCCUCGAGGCGCUGAAUGCCGAGCAGGACUACAGCGACGACAACGACACCAGCGCACCCGACGACUCUGCUGACGACGAAGAGGGGACCACAGGCUCUGUCGAGGGUGCCGGAGCUCGAGAAGAGCCCGCCUCCGCUGCUGCCCCACCUCCCGGCACGCGGGCCACCAUGGACUGGUACGACGUGCUGGACGCGCUACGCCGCGAGCAGCUCGAUGUCAAGCGCAACGCGGCUGAGGUGGGCGACGCCAUGAGAAAGUCGGGUGAGGGCGAAGGCCGCCUUGUCACGCGACACCUCAAUGAGUUGCGCAGUGCAGCCACGCCGCUGAAAUGGUUUUCCAAUGCAGCGGGCCUCGAGGGCAAGGCCAUCGCCGCAGAUGAUGCCGCCGGGAGCGUGCCGCCACCAGGCGCGUCUCGGCGUGAGGUGUGGGCCUCUCUGGCACCGGCGAAGAAAAACGCGCAUCCGCACAACUACAAGCUUCUCCGCUACGUCUCUUAUAUGCCGGUGCUAGACUACCGGCGUUUUCGCCCCACCGCCCUCACCUUUCACGCAGCGGCGUCGUACUUGAGCCGCAAAGAUCGCGGCCAACGCCUGCUCGUCUACGGCGGCGUUUCCUUUGGCGCCCGCACCGUGGAGCAUGAGCUGUACGAAUUUUCUAUGCUGACGGGCAACUGGCGCCGCAUCGAGGGACGACAGCUCGUCCCGGCCGGCCACUACGGUCACACAAUGACAGUGGUCGAGUCGUUUGACCGCGUCGUGGUGGUGGGCGGCAUCGGGCCCGGCGGUGCGGCGGUUUCAAGGGAGAAGAGGCAGGCGUGGGGCACCGAUCCGCUGUGCGCGCCGCGGUAUCGAUGCCUGUGCCCACUCCUGCAUUGUCGUACCGAGCAAGCGGCGACUACGUUGGCACGCGCGGGUGGGACUGCUGCGCCGCUGCCCCUCUCUGUCUCACCUGUCUCGACCGGCUUUGUAUCUCUGCUCUUCGACAUGAACCUGAGUGAUCAGACGUGGCGUGCCAUCCAACCCGCCACCCAGUUUCCGCUGGCGUAUCAUACCACCGUGCACUUUGGCAAGGAGCUUUUUGUCUUUGGUGGGCUGACAGAUGAUCUGCGGGUGUCGGGGCAGCUGCUUGCCAUCAACUCCGCCACGUACGCGGUUCGCCGCAUCCAAACAAGCGCUGGCUCGUCCAGUCGAGGCCGACAGGGGGUGGCACCGGGUGAUGGGGCGGGGGAGGCGCACAGUGGCAGCGACCUGGAUGAGUGCGAGGCUGCGGGGCCGGGGCCGCGCUUUCUGCAUACGGCAGUACGGUACGGCCCAUACAUGAUUGUCUACGGCGGCUACGACGCGCAGAAUGAGGUGCUUGGUGACUGCUGGGCGUUCGACAUGGCGAAUGAACGGUGGGAGCAGCUGCGGUGUCGCGGCGAGGCGGCCGGCCGUGCAGGACACGAGUGCUGUGUCGUUGGCUCCCGCAUGCUCGUCACAGGCGGCUUUGAGUCGUCGCUCGAUGAAGUCGGCAUAGCAGCGUCGCCAGUAACGACAGUGAUGGAACUGAACCUUGUGCCGACAGUGCACGGGGAGCACAUGUGGCGUUCUGAAGUCGGCAUCCACCCGCCCUUGCCGCCGCUCGCCUUCACGCGGUGCGCACCGUGCGGCGACGAGCACUCGUUCCUUCUCUUUGGCGGGCUGACAAAGCUGGCGCGACACCGCAGCCGGUCCCGAUCGGUUGGCAAGCGCUCCGCCUCCGCGAAACGCUGUGCGGCGGCCUCCACCGAGGAAGAGAGCGACGUGGACGUGGACAGCCACCCCGCCUCCCACAAGGUGUCAGAGCGCGGGGCGUCUUUGGCGGCGCGCAACGGAUUUUGGAAGAGGCUUGCACCGUUCGACGACGGUCUUGUUUUGACUUUCCCAGAAAAGCGGCAGCGCAGCAAGGGGGCCAAGGACGAGCCGGUGGUGAACGCGCUCGGCAUCGAAGUCGUCCCUGACGAACUGCCGGAGCACUUCAAGACCUUUGUGCGCCGGCAGGAGGACUUUGUGAGGAAAAAGGACGCCGCAGCCGCAGAGACGAUUCGCAAGACGACGCUGGAGGAACAAGAGGAAAUGGAGCCGAUGCUGUACCUCACGGAUGACGAGAUCGAGUUGCUCCUGCACCGGAGCGAGGAGUGCUGCGUUGCGUUCGCGGAGCGCUACAAGAUGAACACGCUGCCAAGCAAUGUGCCGGACCGUGAAGAGCGCGUGCACCUGAUUGAGGAGUGCAUUUCCGAGAGUCGCCAGGUGCGGGAUGUCAUGCGCUCUAUGAAGGGUUCGGUGCCGGGCGUCACCGCCGUCAAGUCGAAGACGCACCGCAAGCGUGCUGGGCAGAAGUUCGAGGACUACGCUGCCGCAAAACCCUUCCGCCGCGUUGUGGUGAUGCACCUGCUGGAGAGCAUCAACCAACACCUGUCACGCAUGCAUCGACUCAACAAGGCGCUGCGGACGGUGGACUGGCCUGAAAAAGAGGGGUUCCUCGCGGCCGUGGGCGACAUGCAGAACUCCGUCCACGCCGUGUCGCGCGCCAUCAAUGGCGUCCUCAACAAAUACAUCCAGCAGCGAGUGGAGUCCCUUAUGAAGGGAGUGGACAAGCACAAGGAGGUGAUGCGGCUGCUUACGCAGGUGGUGGAGAAGAACCUGCACGACAAGAUAUGGGGCAUCGAGGCUGCGCGAGAUGAGAAGCGACAAAAACACCAGCGCGCCCGUGCCGCCGUGGAGACUCCUGGUCAGCCGACGGCUGCGGCGACGCAGGCCGCGAGACAGCGACGCACGCCAUCGGCUGCUGCGCGUAGUGGAAGCUCAUCUCCGGCCGCGAGACGAGGUCACACCGUCCGCAGCCGCUCGCUUGGUGGCGGCUACCACGCCGAUGAGAGUAAAGCUGUGGUACACAUGAUGGACAGGGAGUGGCACGACCUGCUGAACCGCGCCCGCAUGGUGGAGAAGUGCGCCGGCCGUCUGCGCCACUACUGCGAGGAAGGCGCGGUGACCAGCGACACAGCGCCGCUGUCAGCUCUGCCGCCACCACCAGCACCGCCGCCGCAGCAGCCAUCCGUCGAGGGCCCCCUUUCGUUGCCUCUUGCCCCGCAGCAGACACCUUCGUUGAUGAUACAAGUCCAGCCCUCUCUGCAGGCGCCUACGCUGGCGCCAGGUGGCUCGAUGGCGCCGCCGGUUUGCCUGCCCACCGGCGUGCCGCUUGCGGGCUUGCUGACGAGUGAGGCUCCAGUGGUUCCACCUGUGGCAGCCCCCGCGUCGACUGCGGGUGAGGCUGGUGCGGCUCGACCGCGCGAGAUCAUUAUUCAGCGCUCGAACGAGCUGCGAAUGACGACGGCGACGGUAGCGGAGGAGGUGCGCAAAGCAGCUCUGGACUUUCAAGCAGCGCUUACCCAGGCGGCUGCAGCGUUGCCACCGACGAGUUCCGCAAACGCAUUGUCGGCGACGACGACGGUGAGCCACCCCACAGCUGCACCACCGCGGACGACAUUAGGCGCCGAUGUCGUCGCCCACACCACUCCGGCUCCGCAACUGCCGGCCCCCGCCGUUAUGUCAUCGCACACGACAACGGCGGCGGCGACCCCUGGACCCACGCUGCCUUUCCGAUCAUCUCCAUCGGGCGCCAGCUCCUCUUCGUCGUCGGGAUCGUCGCGGUCGUCGUCGUCUUCGGGGUCGUCGGGACCGGCAGCCGCCGCCGUGAUGCGCGGUCCGUCGUUGCAGCAGCCUUCAGUAGGCCACUUACCAUCCGCCAUGGCGGCGCCGCUGGAGUCGACGGGGUUCGUGCAACUGCAGCAGCCAGUGACGGCGUCCUUGGGGGCGAGCACAGAGGCACCGCUUGCGAAUGUGCAGCAGCCCCAACUCACUCUGGCGGCAACGUCUUCGCACGAUGGCGCAACCGGCGCUUCCCAUGGUAGCCGCAAUGCAAACACAACCUCUGCUGAGCCGGCGCAAGUCUCCACAGUUCAGGGGCAUGCGGUGUACCUGAGCGCGCUGCGCCCCAUUCUCGCAGCGAAGGAGUCCCUCCAGCAGCUCCAAGACAAGGUGGCUCUGAUACGCCUGAACGAGUGGGACGCCAGCGACCUCGCCGGCGCGCCGCAGGAUGUGAAGGUGGAAAAGCUCUACAGGCGUCUCAGCAAAUUGCUGACGGGAGUGGCGCAGUCUGUCACGGCCACCUUCCUGGCCAAGGCUGGUGCGAGGCCACCUCGUCUCCGCCCCGCUCCCGUUUCUGUCGGGCCGCCGCCGCACCGGUCAAGGGGCAAGAAGUCGACGGGCAAGGCAAGGACCAGCGGCCCGUCCACAAAGCGUGCCACGCAGUCGAAGUCGCUCACCUCGGUGGCGGAGGCGUGCGCGACCCCUGCAUCCGCGGUCUUUUCGCAGGCGUUGUUCUCCAGCGCGGGAGGCGACAAGGGAGAUUCUUCUCGCAAGGGCGACGGCGCGGCAGCGUGGACGCUGCCCAGCGCCGCCGACGGCAAUGUGGGGGACGCCCUGAGGCUGAUGCCGCUUCCUCCGCCCGCCCACAACCAGGCCGAUGACGCUGAUGACGGAUGGCUGUCGAAGCGUUCUCGCCCCACCUAUGACGAGGCAGCUGGUGUACCUCUGGUCUCACAUGAGGCGCUCCUGCGGGAUGUCCGGCCAGCGGUUGUGCCUGCCGCUGCCGCAUUCACCAGUGCAGCCGGGCCAUCCGCCGUCGAGGUGCACGCGGUGUACCCGGACGCACGCACGGUGCCGAAUGCCAGCGCCACUAGCCUUUUGUGCGGCAGCGUGGCUCCACCGGCCAUAGCGGCGGGUCCGUGGGCACCCACGGUCAGCUCAGGGCAGACAAGCGGAACGGCGCCUGUUGCUACGGCGGCGCCUGUCGUGGCGCUGAGCGUCGUGCCAAAAGUUGUAAUGCCGGCAGGAGCGAAUGACGUGAGCACUGACGAGUCUGGGGCGGCCUACACGACACAAUCGCCACUGCGGCGCAGGCGCUCUACGAUUGCAGAUCUCGCGCAGCUGCGUCACCUCUCCCAGAGCCGGCUGGAUGACGGCAGUUUCGGUGGUGGAACAACCAGCAGCGGCGACGGCGUAGACCCUGUGACUCGCGAUCCGGUCACAAAUAUCACGAGGGGCAACUUUGUCGUGAACGCCGAGUACCUUUCUCGUGUGGCGCCGCAUGCGUUGCUGGCGGCGACCACUGCCGAGAUAAAGCUGCAGGGGGGUGCCGGUGGCAUGCAGCAGGCGUGGUCGGACAUCGAUGAGGACUAUUUCUACUUUGGCCGGCCUGUAGGGAAGCGCGUGGCGACUGCCGAAACGGUGGUGUCCGGCCCUCCCUACAUCUCUAACCGUCCGCGUGGUGGUGUGGGCGUGUCGCCGCCCGUGGGAACGGUGGUGGGCUCGCCGCGUGUGAAUGCGGAGUUAGCGGCUUCGUCAAUGCGCGGCAUCCCCGGCGUCACUCCUGCGUCGACGACACUGGGCACGCGCUCCUCUAGGGCGCGGGACAGCAGCAGCGGUCGUCGCGUGUCGGAUCACUACCUGUCAUCGACAGCGUCGCAGUUGCUGAAGUUGCACGCAGCGCGACCAGUCGUACGCAAAAGCGGCACGAAACACAGCUUCUUCACCCCCGGGGAGCUGCAUCUGAUGCAAGCCCGCGAGCGGUUGCGGUCAAAGUCGUCCAUGUGAUUGACACGCAAGCGCAUGCUGCUUUUCGGCGCGAGACAGCCUCUGCGGGAUAUCUCCACAUGUCCAUCAAGGCUGUGCCAGCGUUUAUGUUGAUAUGCGCUCGUCAGCAACUUUCUGAUACGUUUCUGCGCAGACCCGUUCGCGCGAGAGAGAAAGCGACGAUGCGGGGCACACAAAGGCACGCACCUGAGUACGUUUCAAGGGGCGGUCCGAAGUGCGCUGCCGUGGUUGUGGCCGCUGACGCACAGCCAAUAGAAAAUAGAUGCAGAGUGGAUGUGAUAAAUGAAAUCGUCGAUAAAGCACGUUUGACGGCGACUUGCGCGCUUGCCUUGCUUUGCCGGUGCUUGGGUGCUCUGCCUUUUAUUCCGGCUCCACGCAGAGGAGCACCGAAGUCAUAUACAGCUGCUUCUCCGCCACCUCUCGCAUCUCGACGGAUAUAGACGGCGUGUGUGUGUGUGUGGGUGGGUGCUUGUAGGCGUGACCGCAAAGGCGCAUUGCUCUAACACGAGGAAACGUCUCCUUCGGUUUCGUCUGAUCUUCGUAUUAUAUAUAUCUGUGCACAACGCGCGUGUUUGCUUGCCUCUGGGGGUGUGCUGGGAGGUAUAUCGCAUGUGUGUCUGUGUGUGUGUGUCGUCUCCUCUUAUCUCCGUCCAUGAAGCGAACAAAGCACACGGAGCAGGAAACAGACGUCAAGUGCGUGCGGAAAAAAAACGGGAGACGCAGCAGCGGACGGCAAAGUCUGUCGAUGGCAUCGUACACCAAGAGUGGUGCUGGCGGGAGUGGGAUAGUAGACGCGCAUCGGCUUUUCUCUCUCAGUGUUGCAUGGCUCGCCUGUGAGCAAAAGUUCACGGGGCGCUGGCUGGUUCCUUGUUUUCUGCGGGCAGCAUGGCGCUUCCCACGACCUGCACCAGCCCUUUCGGUAUGUGCACGCUGUUUCGCUCGCGAUCUCGGCUUUCCUUUCGUCCCUUCUCUCCCUUCCGCUUCCCUCUCCUCUAUUUGGC